UGACGGUCAUAGCGGGAGAGAAACACCUGCUCUCAUUCCGAACGCAGAAGUUAAGCCUCCUUGCGAAUCGAGUUGUACUGCUCAACGAGUGGGAAGCUCAGAGCGCUGUC
This 110-nucleotide ribosomal RNA is filed under the name uncultured archaeon. The record is from RNAcentral.